CCCGGUUUUCUCCCUGGAUGUCGAUUUGAAACCUUGAGAGUCUCCUGGCUGAAGUCCGAAACUACCCUUUACCCUGUACGCCAAGGGCAGCGAGAGACCGAAGAAAAAGGCAGCCAGUCCAGACGGAUAUUGCAGCUGAUCACCAAUUUGAAGGAAAUUCUGUGACUGGAUUUGCAUGUCUACUCUAUCAGCUUCCUGGUUCUCAUCCGAGUUCUCAUCCCAUCUCCUCCCCUCUCUCUCCUCUUCUGUGCAGCGGUGUUUGUGUUGGCCAAGGUGAUUGUUGGGAUCUGGCUGAGGGGGAAGAUGAGUUGGAAAUAUAUAUCAUUGAUUUUUGGUGGGAUGUAUGUAUGUGGUUUUUCAUGACUUUUCUCUAGAUUUGUCUUCUUUCUAUACGUUUCCUUUCAUAUAGCCAGACCUGUGUCAUUUCCUCCAAAUACUUCUUUUGCCCACUGUGCUGACAUUGUGAAAUAAACAUGCAGGGCUAGAUGCUAUAGCACAGCAUGAAAAUGCACUCCAUAACCUGAGUUCUGAAGUAGAGGAGAAGAAAAAUAUUUGAAAAGCUGACACAAAAAAACUCAUCUUUGGAAAAUUCGGACACAUCUUACAGAUGCCAUAAAAUAUUAUCUUGACAAAGUUUUUUUUUCUGAAUUAAAAAGAAAAUUCUAAAAUUUGGAUAAAGAAAUGUGAAGGAAAAAAGUAAUAAGAAAUCUAACUUGUACAAAUGAUAAGUAAUAAGAAAUAUAUUUUAAUAAAUCAUGAGUGAAAGAUCUUUCUUUUCUGUAGACUGUAUUUAAAAAUUGUUGCAUUAUGUGGUAAUCCAAGAAUAUGCAGCAAACAGUAAAAAAAAAAUUAUAGCUUUGUCUCAAGAAGUUAAGUUUUCAUUUUUAUGGAUUCUGAUGUUUGCAGUAUUUGUAACUUUUUCCAAAAAUGUAUUUUUAGAAUAUUUCUCAUUCUAAUAAUCAUGUAUUUUCAUAUUGAAUAUUAUAUUCAUAAUGGGGUACACUUUAAGUUAAAUUUUAAAUUAACAAAGUAUACAAAUUUUAGGUGAAAAUAAUCCUUGCAGGGAGAAGUCCCUGGUUCCUGUUUCUUCUUUGUUACUGUAACUAUGGCUUCUGUUCUAAUUACCUGGGCUGCUACAGAGUCUCAGUCUGCCAUCAUCUUAUAGUGAACCCACAGCCAUUAAAGCCUGCUCUUUCAUGGCCUCACAAGCAGCUCAUAGCAGUUUCUACCAAAGUCACUGCUGAGGAAGAGUAUCUAGAGGCAGGCCAUCUGUAUAUAUUUUUCUUGCUACAGAAGAAAUAACAAGUGACCUAAGUGCCAUGGUCCCUUGAUCAGUGGUAUCUGGGUUGUGUUGGCUCUCUAUAAACCUGAGUGCAAGAGAUUCCUCUUCUUUGUACGUGUUUCCUUUCUCUCACUAUAGAAAAGUAUUGUCAUUAUAAGUACAAAUAAUUUAAUGGAAUUUAAUUCAAGGGAAUGUCAUUCAACCUUGAAAAAGAAGAAAGUCCUGACAUUUGUGACAACAUGGAUGAACUUGGAGGACAUUAUAGUAAGUGAAAUAGGCCAGACACUGAAAGACACAUACUACAUGAUCUCAUUUACAGAUCUUACCUUAAAAAGUCAAACUAAUAGAUGCAGAGAAUAGAAUGGCAGUUGCAAGGGGCUGGAAUGAGAGGAAAAUGUGAGGAUGUUGGUUAAAAGGUACAGUUCUGGGAAAAGAUGAGUAAAUUCUGGAGAUCUAAUGUACAACACGGCCACUAUAGUGAAUAAUACUGAGUUAUGUAUUUGAAAUAUGCUGAAAGAGUACAUCAUAUAUGUUCUCACCCCCCCCCACACACACACACGUGCACGCACACACACACACACAAAUGAUAACUAUGAAAUGGGAUGGAUAUGUUAAUUAGCUUUGUUGUGGUAAUUAUUUUACAAUGUACACUGUAAAUAUAUACAUUUUUGUCAAUUCUAUAUGAGUAACACUGAGAAAAAAAAAUUAUAGAGGAAAUAAAGAAACAUUCAAUUGUGUUAGAGGCUAAAGAGAAAUAUCACUAAAAAGAAAAGUAUAUUGGUGCAGACAAGGAAUCAACCCCAGGAGAUGCAUCCAUUCGCUAACCAACUUGGAUCAAAACAAAUAAAAUUAGUUUCUGUCUAACGCAAAGCCCUCUGCAAGGUCACAUAUUUCUUGAGGACACCUCUCCUGAGUGCAGUGUCUCAGUGAACUUGAUGACCUUAAUACUAUAUUCUCAACACACCUCCCCCCUGAGGAAACAGACUGAAGUAUCAGAGAGCUGUCCUCACUGCCUCAGCUCCAAAACACAUCACACAUCAUAUUAUAUUUGCCAGGACAGUCACGUACAGACUUUCAUAUAGAACCAGAAAAAAGGGAGAUAUGGAUAUUGGUGAGAAAUGGA
Sus scrofa (pig) is the source of this 2405-nucleotide non-coding RNA. Lineage: Eukaryota; Metazoa; Chordata; Mammalia; Artiodactyla; Suidae. The record is from RefSeq and is a predicted model, not a curated record.